AGGAGGAACAGCUAUAGUGGCGGCGACCAGCUCCCCAGCCCUGGAAUCGGCUCCUGCAGUAACUACAGAGCUCUCAGUCUGCAGGUACCUGGAUGCUCCAGGGGCGC
This 107-nucleotide microRNA precursor is filed under the name Canis lupus familiaris (dog). RNAcentral's name for it is "mir-8834 microRNA precursor family". It matches the Rfam family "mir-8834 microRNA precursor family". RNAcentral also lists the same sequence under 1 other name. The record is from Rfam by way of RNAcentral. Lineage: Eukaryota; Metazoa; Chordata; Mammalia; Carnivora; Canidae.